CCUGAAUUGGAAAAAUAUCCUGAUAGUUUUCCAGCUCAGCAGUUGUGUCUUAAAAUGUACAAUACCCAUGUCAAUUCACCAAUUCUUUAUAACCUUGCUAGUUAUUGUAACCUGCAUUAUAUGCUGUUGACAUAGCCAUUUUGCAGGUAUAAAAUGCUGUAUUGCCAUAACAAUUGAAGAAUGCAAGACAUUGGAUGUUAAUAAG
Pelobates cultripes (western spadefoot toad) is the source of this 205-nucleotide non-coding RNA. The record is from the annotation of a GenBank genome assembly. Lineage: Eukaryota; Metazoa; Chordata; Amphibia; Anura; Pelobatidae.